UUGGUAGAAACCAAAAUAGAGGUAUAUCACUGUUAAUGAUAAAAUUGAGUUACACACUCCUACCAAG
Molecule: transfer RNA, 67 nt
Filed under: Gaetice depressus
Lineage: Eukaryota; Metazoa; Arthropoda; Malacostraca; Decapoda; Varunidae
Description: tRNA-Asn
Source: RNAcentral